CCCUAUUAUAUUUAUUAAAUAUUUGUACAAGGUAGUAAUUGUUAUUUUCAUGAAACUUAAAGAAUUUGGCGGUGUUUAUUCAAAUUAGAGGAAUAUGUUUUUAAAAUGAUAUUCCCCAAAUAUCUUACUUUAUUUUAAAUCUUUGUAUAUCUCCGUCUAAAAAAAUUUUUUUAAAAAAUAUUUUAAAUAUCUUUAAAGAGAGAAGUCAGGUCAAGGUGCAGGUUAUAGUAAAGUAAAAAUGUAUUACAAUAAAAUUAUUUAUGGAAUUGUUUUGGAAUAAAUGAUGAAAUUGGAUUUAAUAGUAAAAUUUCUUUUAUAAAAGAAAGUUGAAURUUGUUAAUAAGCAUGC
Molecule: ribosomal RNA, 349 nt
Filed under: Caecilius fuscopterus
Lineage: Eukaryota; Metazoa; Arthropoda; Insecta; Psocodea; Caeciliusidae
Description: partial 12S rRNA
Source: RNAcentral